This 456-nucleotide ribosomal RNA is filed under the name uncultured Resinomycena. Its description in RNAcentral is "eukaryotic LSU rRNA". The stretch from base 56 to 209 matches the Rfam family "5.8S ribosomal RNA". Lineage: Eukaryota; Fungi; Basidiomycota; Agaricomycetes; Agaricales; Tricholomataceae. The record is from RNAcentral.
GAAAAAGUUACAGAAUGUCAUUUUAACGGCCUUCACCGGUCAUUAAACCUUAUACAACUUUCAACAACGGAUCUCUUGGCUCUCCCAUCGAUGAAGAACGCAGCGAAAUGCGAUAAGUAAUGUGAAUUGCAGAAUUCAGUGAAUCAUCGAAUCUUUGAACGCACCUUGCGCCCUUUGGUAUUCCGAAGGGCAUGCCUGUUUGAGUGUCAUUAAAUUAUCAACCUUGAAGGCUUUCGUGGCUUUUCUCGGCUUGGAUGUGAGGGCUUGCUGGCUUCCUUCAGUGGAUCGGUCUGCUCCCUUCAAAUGCAUUAGUGGGAUCUCUUGUGGACCGUCACUGAGUGUGAUAAUUAUCUACGCUCUGUGGCUUUGAAGCAAACUCUAUGGGAACCCGCUCAUAACCGUCCUUCGGGACAACUUCAAUCUUAAUUUGACCUCAAAUCAGGAGGACACCCGCGA